RNAcentral lists this ribosomal RNA (253 nucleotides) under uncultured bacterium. RNAcentral describes it as "partial 16S ribosomal RNA". It matches the Rfam family "Bacterial small subunit ribosomal RNA", at positions 524 to 776 of the family's 1533-position model. The record is from RNAcentral.
UACGUAGGUGGCAAGCGUUGUCCGGAUUUAUUGGGUUUAAAGGGUGCGUAGGCGGUCUAUUAAGUCAGUGCUGAAAUAUCCCGGCUUAACCGGGAGGGUGGCAUUGAUACUGAUGGACUUGAGUGCAGUCGAGGUAGGCGGAAUUGACGGUGUAGCGGUGAAAUGCUUAGAUAUCGUCAAGAACACCGAUAGUGAAGACAGCUUACUAGGCUGUAACUGACGCUGAGGCACGAAAGUGUGGGGAUCAAACAGG